ACAUACAAUCAACACUCCACUCAGACAAUGCCCAGACCUCCAGAAACCAUGUGUCAAGCUCGGAUUGCCUUAGACAGGUGCAAUUUAAGAACAGCUUUCAUCCUCUUUUCUCUCAUAUUGUCACACUAUGUGUUCUGACUUCUGGCUCCUUUCCUCACAAGAAGCUCACCCAGCUGGAACUCUUAUGGGACCUUGGCACCAGAGACCACAAAUUCCUCUUUGAAGUUUUCUAACAGCAACAAUGGUAUUUCUGACUUGGCUUUCUUGUAUUUCUCUCACGUUAACAAAAUUGGUUCAGCAUCUACCAUGGGCUACAUGCUGAGCUACAGAGUUUCGCUCUGUCGCCCAGGCUGGAGUGCAGUGGCGCGCGAUCUCGGUUCACUGCAAGCUCCACCUCCCGGGUUCACGCCAUUCUCCUGCCUCAGCCUCCUGAGUAGCUGGGACUACAGGCGCCCGCCACCACACCCAGGAAUCCAACUUGCUGUUUGCUAUCACAUGUGCUAUACAUGCUGUUGAUGAAACUGCUAAAGGGGCUGAAUGUGACUGACGUCUUUGGAAGGAUGAGACUUAGCGUGCCUGUACAGUUGUGUCCAAAUGCUGUCCUCAUCUCCCAAUGAAAAGGUAUUGUAAAUAAAGAGAAAGAUCAGAGGCUUAUUUUAAACACUAAAUAUGAGCUAGGAGCUGUCCUAGACACUAUGUAAAAGUUUUAUUUAGUUCUCACUGUAAUGUUGGCCUUAUGUUAGCAUCCCAUUUUUCAGACUGAGGAAAUUAUGGCUCAGAGAGGUUAAGAGACUUAUUGAAGGUCACACAGCUCCACAAACUUUGGUGUAGAUUGAACGUGUACAUGGGUCUAUGUGACUUUGAAUCUUGCAUUCUUUACAUUAUUGGAAUAUUUCACAGAAGGAAAAUGACAUAUUAACAUGGCAAUAAGAUUUCUGGUUCCAGUCUGGUUACUGGUCUUCCAAGAGUGUUAUAGGAUGUAUAGCCUGAGCUCUGAAGCUUUGUUCUGAAGCAUGCUAUCAAUAUGAACAAAUUGGUAUGGAAGGAAGCCACAAAUUAUAUACUAAAAUCUAGUUCAUCAGAGGAAAAUAUAGUUAAAUACAUUUACAUUCCCAGAACUGUUAAUAUUGAAGAAUAAAACACACAGUGGGAAAGAGACGAAGAGAAAAUACGCCUGUUUUUAUGACUUGUUGAUAUCUACAGGGUUUUUCCUUAAGCCUCACAACAAUUUACAGCAUUGCCAGCAGCAUUCAGUACAUUCAGAACAGGAUAAUUUCACCCGCAGCUGAACUAGGGCCAUGCCUGGGACAGACAGAGAAUGGCCUUCCAGCAGACAUGCCAAGAAGCAAGCCAGGGUCAGUGAGUGAAGAGGAGGGCAGGCCCAUUUGAAGCAACACAGUUUAUGUAAGUGUGAUCUAACUGCUUUCACUGGAAAUGGGUCAGACUCCAGUUGAGAGAACCAGGGGCCUGAAUGACCCCAGCAAAAUCACUGUGGCAAUUCUUUCAAUCACCUCUGAGAAUAUGGCCCUGUGACGACAUAAUGACGUUUGGAUUAAUUCCAGUCGGCUGUGUUUUCCCCUCCUUUCUUGCCUCCCCGUAGUUGAUUUGCCAAAUUUUUUUUGUUUGCUUAAAUACGCGGAACUAAACAGGAUACAUUAUAUGACAGUCUGUGAUAAAUUUACCACUGGGAAUAGGGAAAAAGUAUGGGAUAAAGAAAUAGGUAUUUUUCGCCUCUCACAGCUGUGAUUCAGUUCUGACUCAAAAGGAAGUGUGCCACCUACUGAAUCACAGAAACCACUUCCUGUGGCUGUUUGGUUUAUUCUGGAGGAGCAUCAGGCCAAGUGCUGCCCUGCCCUGACCCUGACUGGCUCUUCAGAGCCAAGGCAUUCACAGCUUGAGGUGGUUUGGCCUCAGACUCUUGAGAACAUUGCAUAUUAAAUUACAAGUGUUUCGUUUCCUAGCAAGGAGUCUUUAGCAACAUGAAAACGAACGUGUGUUAUUUGCAAACCAAGUAUAUCAUUACUGAACCUGAAUAUCCUUACUUUUUCAUAAGGUACGUAUUCCGGAUGACCACUCUUAAGAUCUGAAUGUACACUGGUUCUGUUUUUCCUGAGGGGAACUUGGGCAGUCUGCAGGGUGGCAUUUACCAGCUGAGGGACUUCAAGAGCACCCUUUAAUCAGUGUGGCAGCACUCAACUUGUAUUCACUCACUCAGAGUAUUUUUGAGCAUGUACUUAUUGCCAUGUGCUGUGCUAGGUAGGGGUAGAGGGUACAGUGGUGAACAAGACCCCACAGCUCCUGACCUCAUGGCUCAUGUGUUCUACACCAUAAGGGAAUCAAGCUGUGUCUCCCGGGGCAGGGGCCUUCCUCUGUUCACCAUGCAGCCCCAGCAUCUAGCACCUGGCGUUGCAUAAAGGAGGCUCUAAAUCAAGCUUGUCCAACCCAAGGCCCACGGGCCACAUGUGGCCCAGGAUGGCUUUGAAUGCAGCCAAACACAAAUUUGUAAACUUUCUUAAAACAUUAUAAGAUUUGUGUGUAUGUGUUUUAGUCCAUCAGCUAUUGUUAGUGUUCAUGUAUUUUAUGUGUGGCCCAAGACAAUUCUUCUAUGUGGCCCAAGGAAACCAAAGAUUGAACACUCCUGCUCUAAAUACUUGUUUGUUGAAUAGAUACAUGAAAAGAAAGAAGGAGAGAAGGAAGAAAGGAGGGCGGAAGGAAAGGAAGAAGGGAGAGAAGAAGAGAAGAAAGAAGCAGAGAAAGGAAGAGAAAAGAAAUUACGGCCAGUGCGGUGGCUCACGCCUGUAAUCCUAGCACUUUGGGAGGCCUAAGCGGGCUGAUCACCUGAGGUCAGGAGUUCGUAAGCCAGCCUGGCCAACAUGGUGAAACCCUAUCUCUACUAAAAAUACAAAAAUCAGCAGGGCAUGGUGGUGCGUGCCUGUAAUCCCAGCUACCUGGGAGGCUGAGGUAGGAGAAUCGCUGGAACCCGAGAGGCGGAGGCUGCAGUGAGUUGAGAUCAUGUCACUGCACUCCAGGCUGGGCAACAGAGUGAGACUCUGUCUCAGAAAAAAAAAAAAA
Molecule: long non-coding RNA, 3072 nt
Organism: Homo sapiens (human)
Lineage: Eukaryota; Metazoa; Chordata; Mammalia; Primates; Hominidae
Gene: LUCAT1
Product: lung cancer associated transcript 1
Source: Ensembl